UACGUAGGGGGCUAGCGUUGUCCGGAUUUAUUGGGCGUAAAGAGCGUGUAGGCGGCCAUGUAGGUCCGGUGUGAAAACUCGAGGCUUAACCUCGAGAUGUCAUCGGAAACCAUUUGGCUAGAGUCCGGAAGAGGCGAGUGGAAUUCCCGGUGUAGCGGUGAAAUGCGCAGAUAUCGGGAGGAACACCAAUGGCGAAGGCAGCUCGCUGGGACGUGACUGACGCUGAGACGCGAAAGCGUGGGGAGCAAACAGGG
This 254-nucleotide ribosomal RNA is filed under the name uncultured bacterium. RNAcentral describes it as "partial 16S ribosomal RNA". It matches the Rfam family "Bacterial small subunit ribosomal RNA", at positions 524 to 777 of the family's 1533-position model. The record is from RNAcentral.